ACAGGGAAUAGUCUACUCGAUAGAGUUUAGAGUAUGGGGCAAGAAGGACUUAAAGGUAGCACGUAGAAGGCAGCAGUUGGUUAGAGAGUGUGUCUAUAUUGUUGGUGGGCAAGUAGAUGUAAAAUAGGCAUGGAAGCAUGAUUUUAGAUCAAGGUUAUUCAUUCAUUCAUUCUUAAGAGCCAUUUUUGGCUAGAAGAAAAGAGUGAAUAAUUAGAUGUUACCUUUAUAAGAAC
This 233-nucleotide long non-coding RNA is filed under the name Bos taurus (domestic cattle). RNAcentral's name for it is "long non-coding RNA NONBTAT025479". Lineage: Eukaryota; Metazoa; Chordata; Mammalia; Artiodactyla; Bovidae. The record is from RNAcentral.